RNAcentral lists this transfer RNA (74 nucleotides) under Deltaproteobacteria bacterium. RNAcentral's name for it is "tRNA-Arg". It matches the Rfam family "tRNA". Rfam says of the family: Transfer RNA (tRNA) molecules are approximately 80 nucleotides in length. Their secondary structure includes four short double-helical elements and three loops (D, anti-codon, and T loops). Lineage: Bacteria; Pseudomonadati; Myxococcota; Myxococcia. The record is from RNAcentral.
GGCCCCGUAGCUCAGUUGGAUAGAGCGGCGGAUUCCUAAUCCGCAGGCCACAGGUUCGAUUCCUGUCGGGGUCA